GAUGAACGCUGGCGGCGUGCCUAAUACAUGCAAGUCGAGCGAACAGACGAGGAGCUUGCUCCUCUGACGUUAGCGGCGGACGGGUGAGUAACACGUGGAUAACCUACCUAUAAGACUGGGAUAACUUCGGGAAACCGGAGCUAAUACCGGAUAAUAUAUUGAACCGCAUGGUUCAAUAGUGAAAGACGGUUUUGCUGUCACUUAUAGAUGGAUCCGCGCCGCAUUAGCUAGUUGGUAAGGUAACGGCUUACCAAGGCAACGAUGCGUAGCCGACCUGAGAGGGUGAUCGGCCACACUGGAACUGAGACACGGUCCAGACUCCUACGGGAGGCAGCAGUAGGGAAUCUUCCGCAAUGGGCGAAAGCCUGACGGAGCAACGCCGCGUGAGUGAUGAAGGUCUUCGGAGCGUAAAACUCUGUUAUUAGGGAAGAACAAAUGUGUAAGUAACUAUGCACGUCUUGACGGUACCUAAUCAGAAAGCCACGGCUAACUACGUG
RNAcentral lists this ribosomal RNA (497 nucleotides) under uncultured bacterium. RNAcentral's name for it is "partial 16S ribosomal RNA". It matches the Rfam family "Bacterial small subunit ribosomal RNA", at positions 28 to 507 of the family's 1533-position model. The record is from RNAcentral.